RNAcentral lists this ribosomal RNA (683 nucleotides) under Meloidogyne hapla. RNAcentral's name for it is "partial 28S ribosomal RNA". It matches the Rfam family "Eukaryotic large subunit ribosomal RNA", at positions 392 to 975 of the family's 3401-position model. The record is from RNAcentral. Lineage: Eukaryota; Metazoa; Nematoda; Chromadorea; Rhabditida; Meloidogynidae.
AGAGGACGUGAAACCGGUGAGGAGGAAACGGAUAGAGUCGGCGUAUCUUGCAAGUAUUCAAUUACUUUAUUAUUGUGUUGUUAUCUCUGAGCUCCAGAUUGGGACAGAGUGAAGCAGCAUGAUUUUUGUGAUGCAUUUACUUGUCUGGCGUGUGGGGGUAUCUGAGAUGAUUUGCACCGACUUUUGAGGCCAGCUUGCUGGUACCCAACAGUGUUACAUUUUUCUCUUGGAUAUUCUAAGUCGGCUUACGAGAUUUUUUGUUUGAUCUAGUGCAAGUAACGCCCCAUGCGAACGUGCUAUUCAAUUACCUCCGUGCAGUAAAGCGCUCCUACCCCCCCCCCAUGUAACACCGGUCAUUUAUUUCAACCGUCUUGAACACGACCAAGGAGUUUAAUGAGUGCGCAGUUUUUGGGUGCUGAAACCCCCAAGGAAAUGAAAGUAACUGACCCAUAAAGUCUGAUGUGCAACUUUUUUCAAAAAAUGCAUCGAGGCCCCCUUCUACUGUUUACGUAAGGUGGCGGAGAGCGUCCCAGUGAGACCGAAAGAUGUGAACUUUCCUGACACGACAAACCUGACGAAACUCUCGUGGAACCCGAAGCGUUCUGACCUGCAAACGAUCUCUGAUUGGUAUAGGGCCAAAGAAAAUCGACCAUCUAUACUGUUCCCUUCCAAAUUCACUUUCC